GAGUUUGAUCAUGGCUCAGAUUGAACGCUGGCGGCAUGCCUUACACAUGCAAGUCGAACGGCAGCACGGGAGCUUGCGUCCUGGUGGCGAGUGGCGAACGGGUGAGUAAUGCAUCGGAACGUAUCCUGGAGUGGGGGAUAACGUAGCGAAAGUUACGCUAAUACCGCAUAUUCUGUGAGCAGGAAAGCGGGGGACCUUCGGGGCCCUCGCGCUCGUUGGAGGCGGGCCGAUCGGUCGGAUUAGCUUAG
RNAcentral lists this ribosomal RNA (248 nucleotides) under bacterium enrichment culture clone ALO1_GLFRUDD03HCHH0. Its description in RNAcentral is "partial 16S ribosomal RNA". It matches the Rfam family "Bacterial small subunit ribosomal RNA", at positions 9 to 249 of the family's 1533-position model. The record is from RNAcentral.